GAUGAACGCUGGCGGCGUGCCUAAUACAUGCAAGUCGAGCGAACGGACGAGAAGCUUGCUUCUCUGAUGUUAGCGGCGGACGGGUGAGUAACACGUGGAUAACCUACCUAUAAGACUGGGAUAACUUCGGGAGACCGGAGCUAAUACCGGAUAAUAUUUUGAACCGCAUGGUUCAAAAGUAAAAGACGGUCUUGCUGUCACUUAUAGAUGGAUCCGCGCUGCAUUAGCUAGUUGGUAAGGUAACGGCUUACCAAGGCAACGAUGCAUAGCCGACCUGAGAGGGUGAUCGGCCACACUGGAACUGAGGCACGGUCCAGACUCCUACGGGAGGCAGCAGUAGGGAAUCUUCCGCAAUGGGCGAAAGCCUGACGGAGCAACGCCGCGUGAGUGAUGAAGGUCUUCGGAUCGUAAAACUCUGUUAUUAGGGAAGAACAUAUGUGUAAGUAACUGUGCACAUCUUGACGGUACCUAAUCAGAAAGCCACGGCUAACUACGUG
This 497-nucleotide ribosomal RNA is filed under the name uncultured bacterium. Its description in RNAcentral is "partial 16S ribosomal RNA". It matches the Rfam family "Bacterial small subunit ribosomal RNA", at positions 28 to 507 of the family's 1533-position model. The record is from RNAcentral.